Molecule: ribosomal RNA, 180 nt
Filed under: uncultured bacterium
Lineage: Bacteria
Description: partial 16S ribosomal RNA
Rfam family: Bacterial small subunit ribosomal RNA
Source: RNAcentral
CCCCUACGGGAGGCAGCAGUGGGGAAUAUUGGACAAUGGGGGGCAACCCCUGAUCCAGCAAUUCUGUGUGCACGAAGACGGUUUUCGGAUUGUAAAGUGCUUUCAGCAGGGAAGAAGUAAGUGACGGUACCUGCAGAAGAAGCGACGGCUAAAUACGUGCCAGCAGCCGCGGUAAUGGGG